This 467-nucleotide ribosomal RNA is filed under the name uncultured bacterium. RNAcentral's name for it is "partial 16S ribosomal RNA". It matches the Rfam family "Bacterial small subunit ribosomal RNA", at positions 28 to 506 of the family's 1533-position model. The record is from RNAcentral.
GACGAACGCUGGCGGCGUGCUUAACACAUGCAAGUCGAACGGAAAGGCCCUGCUUUUGUGGGGUGCUCGAGUGGCGAACGGGUGAGUAACACGUGAGUAACCUGCCCUUGACUUUGGGAUAACUUCAGGAAACUGGGGCUAAUACCGGAUAGGAGCUCCUGCUGCAUGGCGGGGGUUGGAAAGUUUCGGCGGUUGGGGAUGGACUCGCGGCUUAUCAGCUUGUUGGUGGGGUAGUGGCUUACCAAGGCUUUGACGGGUAGCCGGCCUGAGAGGGUGACCGGCCACAUGGGGACUGAGAUACGGCCCAGACUCUUACGGGAGGAAGCGGUGGGGAAUAUUGCACAAGGGGCGGAAGCCUGAGGCAGCAACGCCGCGUGCGGGAUGACGGCCUUCGGGUUGUAAACCGCUUUCGCCUGUGACGAAGCGUGAGUGACGGUAAUGGGUAAAGAAGCACCGGCUAACUACGG